CCUACGGGUGGCUGCAGUGGGGAAUAUUGGACAAUGGGCGCAAGCCUGAUCCAGCAAUGCCGCGUGUGUGAAGAAGGCCUUAGGGUUGUAAAGCACUUUCAGCAAUGAAGAAGUUGUAUUGGCUAAUAUCCAAUAUAAUUGACGUUAGUUGCAGAAGAAGUACUGGCUAACUCUGUGCCAGCAGCCGCGGUAAUACAGAGAGUGCAAGCGUUAAUCGGAUGUAUAGGGCGUAAAAAAAGUUAGGGGUGUAAUCCCUGAGCUUAACCUAGGAAUUGCAUUUAAUACUUUUUAUCUAGAGUAUUGUAGGGGGAAGUGGAAUUUCCGGUGUAGCGGUGAAAUGCGUAGAUAUCGGAAGGAACACCAGUGGCGAAGGCGACUUCCUGGACAAAUACUGACACUGAGACACGAAAGCGUGGGGAGCAACCAGGAUUAGAUACCCCGGUAGUC
This 447-nucleotide ribosomal RNA is filed under the name uncultured bacterium. Its description in RNAcentral is "partial 16S ribosomal RNA". It matches the Rfam family "Bacterial small subunit ribosomal RNA", at positions 338 to 795 of the family's 1533-position model. The record is from RNAcentral.